RNAcentral lists this ribosomal RNA (879 nucleotides) under uncultured bacterium. RNAcentral describes it as "bacterial SSU rRNA". It matches the Rfam family "Bacterial small subunit ribosomal RNA", at positions 8 to 916 of the family's 1533-position model. The record is from RNAcentral.
AGAGUUUGAUCAUGGCUCAGGAUGAACGCUGGCGGCGUGCCUAACACAUGCAAGUCGAGCGAUUCUCUUCGGAGAAGAGCGGCGGACGGGUGAGUAACGCGUGGGUAACCUGCCCUGUACACACGGAUAACAUACCGAAAGGUAUGCUAAUACGAGAUAAUAUGCUUUUAUCGCAUGGUAGAAGUAUCAAAGCUCCGGCGGUACAGGAUGGACCCGCGUCUGAUUAGCUAGUUGGUAAGGUAACGGCUUACCAAGGCGACGAUCAGUAGCCGACCUGAGAGGGUGAUCGGCCACAUUGGAACUGAGACACGGUCCAAACUCCUACGGGAGGCAGCAGUGGGGAAUAUUGCACAAUGGGCGAAAGCCUGAUGCAGCAACGCCGCGUGAGCGAUGAAGGCCUUCGGGUCGUAAAGCUCUGUCCUCAAGGAAGAUAAUGACGGUACUUGAGGAGGAAGCCCCGGCUAACUACGUGCCAGCAGCCGCGGUAAUACGUAGGGGGCUAGCGUUAUCCGGAAUUACUGGGCGUAAAGGGUGCGUAGGUGGUUUCUUAAGUCAGAGGUGAAAGGCUACGGCUCAACCGUAGUAAGCCUUUGAAACUGGGAAACUUGAGUGCAGGAGAGGAGAGUGGAAUUCCUAGUAUAGCGGUGAAAUGCGUAGAUAUUAGGAGGAACACCAGUUGCGAAGGCGGCUCUCUGGACUGUAACUGACACUGAGGCACGAAAGCGUGGGGAGCAAACAGGAUUAGAUACCCUGGUAGUCCACGCCGUAAACGAUGAGUACUAGCUGUCGGAGGUUACCCCCUUCGGUGGCGCAGCUAACGCAUUAAGUACUCCGCCUGGGGAGUACGCUCGCAAGAGUGAAACUCAAAGGAAUUGACGG